This is a non-coding RNA of Felis catus (domestic cat), 85 nucleotides long. The record is from Rfam. NCBI's taxonomy places the organism in Eukaryota, Metazoa, Chordata, Mammalia, Carnivora, Felidae.
GCCCGGGUGGCUCAGUGGGUUGAGUGUCCGACUUCGGCUCAGGUCAUGAUCUCAAGGUUUGUGGGUUCGAGCCCCACGUCGGGCU